Molecule: ribosomal RNA, 383 nt
Filed under: uncultured eukaryote
Lineage: Eukaryota
Description: partial 18S ribosomal RNA
Rfam family: Eukaryotic small subunit ribosomal RNA
Source: RNAcentral
CAAUAGCGUAUAUUAAAGUUGUUGCAGUUAAAAAGCUCGUAGUUGGAUUUCUGGUGGGAGCGAUCGGUCUGGCGCUUAGCGCGAGUACUUGCAUCGUCUCCGGCCAUCCUUGGGGAGAGUCUGUCUGGCAUUAGGUUGUCGGGCAGAGGAUCCUCAUCGUUUACUGUGAAAAAAUUAGAGUGUUCAAAGCAGGCUUAUGCCGUUGAAUAUAUUAGCAUGGAAUAAUAAGAUAGGACUUUGGUACUAUUUUGUUGGUUUGCGCACCAAAGUAAUGAUUAAUAGGGACAGUUGGGGGUAUUCGUAUUCCGUUGUCAGAGGUGAAAUUCUUAGAUUGCCGAAAGACAAACUGCUGCGAAAGCGUCUGCCAAGGAUGUUUUCAUUGA